This 31706-nucleotide long non-coding RNA is filed under the name Lathyrus oleraceus (garden pea). RNAcentral's name for it is "Pisum sativum (pea) long non-coding RNA (PSAT_LNC011672)". Lineage: Eukaryota; Viridiplantae; Streptophyta; Magnoliopsida; Fabales; Fabaceae. The record is from RNAcentral.
GUCGACGGCGUGGGUUACUUCGGUGGCGGAGUUCGAUCCACGGUGGAAGGAAAAAGAAGAGUGAGGUUGUUUAGAUCGCAGUCAGCUUGGUAGAUGGCGUUGAAGGGAAUUCGCGGCGGCCAUGGCGGUUAGCCGGAAGUUGUUGAAGGAUGUUAAGGGCGGAGAAUUCGAGACGUACGGUGGAGUGUGUAUGUUAUGGUGGUGUUUGUUGGAAGGUUUGAGUUUAUGAAGAAGAAGAGGAUUUGAAGGAAUUGAGUGGGUAAGGGUGUGACGGCAGUGCGUUUUUUCAAGGGGAAGAAGAAGGUGGAUUUCAGUGUUUUGUGUGUGUGACGUUUGGGAGCAGAAGAAGUAUUCCUCCCUUUUUGUUUUUUUCUGUCCCAUGAGUCCCCUUUUUCUUGAGACAGAGUGGUGAUCCCCACGUGAAGAAGAAAUCUCUUUGUUUCCCCUUUUUCCCCGUUAGCCAGCUGUUCCUCCAUUAAUAAAAUCCCAUUUUUGUUCUUAUCCCAUCUCUCCCAAUAACAUGAUGCCACGUUUCAUGUUGAGAGUAUGGAUAAAAAAUCUUCUCAAAUGCAAGCUGUCAAACGUGUAUCUUUCACAAGUAUACAACUUUAUUUUUAAUUUUUAAUUUUUAAUGUUAAUAUUAAUAUUAUUUGAUUUUUCAUGAUUAAUAUUAUUAUUAAUUGAUUUUUGAUUGGAUAAUGGAAUAUGAUAACGAUUGCAAAUGAGAUCCGUGGAUUAAUUUGUAUCAACGAUCCUGAUUAAUCCAAAGAAGCACAAGCAAUUUUAAAAUGUCCGAUAUGUCCCUUUUAUAUGAUUUUAAUUGAUUUAAAAUAAUUUAAAUCAUCAAAUCAAAUUAAAUUCGCAUCUUUCUAAAUACAUACGAUAAAAAUAAAAUGAGAAUACGAAAAAUUCUAUUUAUUUCUUUUGAACAUUUUGGCGAAAGAAUAAAAAUAAAAUGACUAAAAAUUAAUAAAAGUCGGACGAAAAUUUGUUUAAAAAAUUAAAUCGGACGCACUAAAAUGAUCAGCGCGAAAUAUACUUAUUGAAAAAAUACAUCAUUUCUUUUAAUUUUGAAAUAAAUUUUGACCGAUUGAAAGGCUUAGACGGAUCAAAAUGCGAUUGAAAAAGUCGUCGAAAAAUAUAACGAGCACACCAUGUUAAACUACGCAGACCAUAGAUUAAUAAUACUGGCGUAUGCAAGUUUAAUUUUGAAACUUUUUACACGCUGAUUUUGCACGUACUUGAGAAAUGAUUUAACCAAUUUGUCUAUAUUUUCAAUAAUUUAUUUCGACCGAUAUUUUAAGUAUUAUUCAUGAUGAAAUGCAUGUUAUGCUGUACAACUGAUGCAAAUUAAAAAUGAAAUCAAGUUUAUGAAAAAUUUAAAAUGUCUGGACAAAAUUGGGGUAUGACAGCUGCCCCUAUUUAGUUACCUUGAUCCGGAAAGUAAGAAUUACAGCAGUGUCCGUAAAUUCGUGGUGGAAGGUAAUUAAAUACGAAAAGACCCAAAUUUUGUCCUUUGAAAUGUGAUGGAGAAAUGUAGAAAGAAAAUGUAACGAAUCCUAACGACAUCCAGGGUAUUAGGGGUAGAAUAUCCGAUCAAUGCCAACCCUCGAGUCGACAUUUAAAUCUUGCAAAGGUCGUUAUUGAUAUGAGGACAAACCUGAGCAGGUUUUCUGGCACCAAAAGGAUGACAAUAGAAUUAAUUGCCAUCACCAAAAGGGUGAUAGUAAUUCACCAUGAUUUCCGGGAUCGUCAUCACCAAAAGGAUGAUGGAAUACCAAGCUUCAAAGGUAGUCAUCACCAAAAGGAUGAUGGUUAUCCUGAUAAAGCUUUCCAUUACCGAGGGGGUAAUAUUAAGACUAUCAUCAAAAGGACGAUAGUUAACUCAUCAACUUCAAAGAUCACCGUCACCAAAAGGAUGAAAGUAAGUUCAACGACAAAACUUAUUAUCACCAAAAGGAUGAUGCUAAGUCACGGCAACUUCAUUGGAUCACCAUCACCAAAAGGAUGAAGGUAACAUUAACAACAAAACUUGUUAUCACCAAAAGGAUGAUAAAAAGUCAACAAUCACCAUCACCAAAAGGAUGAAGGUACUACCAAACAACAGAACUUGUUACCACCAAAAGGAUGAUAAUAAGUCAACAAUAUUAAUGAUCACCAGUAUCCAAAGGAUGAAGGUAAGAUCAACAACGAAACUUGUUAUCACCAAAAGGAUGAUAAUAAGUCACAAACUUCAAAUGAUCACCAUCACCAAAAGGGUGAAGGUAAGAUCAAAUAACAGAACUUGUUACCACCAAAAGGAUGAUAACAAGUCAUCAACCACCAUCACCAAAAGGAUGAAGGUAAAAACAAACAACAAAGCUUGUUACCCUCAAAAGGAUGAUAAUAAGUCAACAACUCAAAUAAUCACCAUCACCAAAAGGAUGAAGGUAAGAUUAAUAACAAGACUUGUUACCACCAAAAGGAUGAUAAUGAGUCACAAUCACCAUCACCAAAAGGAUGAAGGUAUUAUUGAACAACAAAACUCGUUAUCACCAAAAUGAUGAUAAUAAGUUACAACAACUUAAAUGAUCACCAUCACCGAAAGGAUGAAGGUAAGAUCAGAACAAAACUUGUUACCACCAAAAGGAUGAUAGUAAGUCGAGACAAACUUUAAUGAUCGCCAUCACCAAAAGGAUGAAGGUAAGAUCAAAUGACAAAACUUAUUACCACCAAAAGGAUGAUAAUAAGUCAAAAACUUCACAUGAUCACCAUCACCAAAAGGAUGAAGGUAUGAUCAACAACAAAACUUGUUACCUCCAAAAGGAUGAUAAUAAGUCACAAACUUCAAAUGAUCACCAUCACCAAAAGGAUGAAGGUAUGAUCAACAACAAAACUUAUUACCACCAAAAGGAUGACAAUAAUCUUUAAUAAUGAGAGGUCUCCAUUCACCAAAAGGAUGAAGGUUGGACCCAAAACUUCAAGGAUCUUCGACACCAAAAGGAUGACGGUAAGAUCACAAAUGUCAAGGGUUUACCAUUACCAAAAGGAUAACGGUUAUCAUAAACAAGGAGAUGAUUAAUAUUAUUCCUCAAUGAACUUUCACCAAAAGAAUGAUAGUGAGAAAAAUAUUUGGAAUAAUAAAGCUACUGACAAAGUUCAAUAAACCCGACUUGUUGGGUAGUAUUAGAACGUUACUGGGUAAGACUUGCUUGGGGUAUCGACAAUAAAAGGUUGCAGAAAAAUAUUCUCUGGAAAACAUAAUUUCCAUCAACAAAAGGUUAAAAGAAACAUCUCAUCGAGGAACGCUCAAUGAGAAACAAGGUAGGGGUUUGAAGAAAAAUUGUUCGACUUAGAUGAGGGUAACACCUUAUUAACAAAAGGUUAGAGGAUGUAAAUCAACGGGGAACACCCAACAAUACAAGGUAAGAACUCACUCAGAGAAAAUAAUAAAUGACUCAACUGAGGGUUGGCCUGGACACCUACGACUAAACCUUGGAUCUUGAUUCGUGCUAUAUGCAUGAAUGUUAUGUAUGCGUUAUGUAUGAGAUGAUGUAUGCAGUGCAUGUUUGAAUGUAAAGGAUGAUUGGUUUGUUUAGAAUUGGUCCCCCCUUUUCAAAGGAGAUGUAUUUUCUGGAAACAAAUACUGGUUGUAUUUGUUUUUGUGUGGGUUCCAACAAGGUGGACUUUGGGUUUUUUGGUAAUUGCCAAUAUGAGUUUGAUUGUUGGUGGGUGAAAGGAUCUGACUUCCCGACACUUGGUAGUUUAUGAUCUGAUGAACACGCAAUGGAUGUGGAUACGCUCGAUGCCCUAAGUUUGAUUUCUUGCUGUUAUGUUGUGUCUUUGCCCCUGAGGGGAACUCGACUUCUUCUUCUGAGAUGUUGGGUCAGCUUGUAACCGAGCAUAGUGACAUGAUCAACGCAUGAUGAUUAUGCUUUUGACGUGCCGCAAGGUUUCUUGUCAAGAUGUGAUAUUGUACCGGUAUGAAGUUUUGACAUUUUGGUUGUGAUCUUAGACAGUUUCUAGUGUCUGACACAAUCUGCCUGACCGACUUGAAGAUAUGAAGUGAAUUUUCCCCUUGCAACUUGUCUUGCCCAGUCUGUAGGGUGUUCAAAGGAAUUAUCCUUGAAAGGAAACCCUUAGGAGUGAUUAUCCCAUGACAUGGUCUGAGUCUGUUUCCUCCAACGUUUGUCUCUUGUGGUGGGAUAAACACAGAAAUGGAUAACAAAUGGUUUUGAACUCGGCAUUCAUGUCGUGUGAUUUUCUCUCUUCUUCUUUUUUUCUCGUGCAUAACUCAUAGCUUUGGGGGUUUAUCCACUUUUGGCUCUUUUCAACUCAAUUCUUUGUGAGCAUUUUAAAGGUGUUAGAGUCUUAAGUCUCGGCAAGUGCAUUUUCUUUUUUUUUUUUUCUUUUUGGACAUACACAUGUCUCUACUUUUUGUAUUGCUUUUAGAUCUCUUAUUAUGCACUUGCCCUUUCUUUCAAGAUUACCACCCCAAACUUAGCUUUUUGCACAUCUUGUAACUCACAACAAUCAUGCCGAGUGAUGGGAUGAAAUGAACGAUUAAUGGUCAACAUGGGGUUUAUUACGAACAAAAUGGCUAAGGCUCAACGGGGUUCACGAAGGGUAAACAUAUAAACAUGGAUGGCUAGAAAGGCUCUGGAUUAAACAAACAACUUGCCUCAGUGCGUGUUGUCAUGCUGUGAAGUGUCAAAAGAACAUACGCAAAAUCAGAGUGAUAGAGUCAUACCUGGCUGAACUCUCAUGAUAUUUAGUGUUUGGCCUUUUUAUUCUCACCAUGUUGGUUAAACUUACAAGCUCUGAAGCCUCCUAGUGUCAUGUGGUUUCUUUUCUGAUUCGGUUCUACCAUACCGCUCUCUUGGUCCAGUGUCACCAAAUUGUGUCCGACUUUUACUUUCUCAUGGUUGCAUCAACUUCCGGGGUACCUUAAUAGAACAAGUAUGAGGGGUGUCUUUCAUCCACUACAACCGAUCCCGGAUUCGUCCACAAUUUCUCAUCACUCUGUACACACCGAUAAACAAUAAAAACAAACGUUGAAGGAAAACAUGAACAAAAUGAAAACGAAAUAAAACAUGAAAGGAAAACCCCUCCCCCCCCCCACACCUGAACUAAACAUUGACCUCAAUGUUUAAAUCCAGAUACAAAGGGGACUCACAGCGACUACUGUUGUUUUACUGCACUUGUGUGGUUUCCUUCCAUUUUGAGGUGUUUGUGACUUUAUUAAAUCCAGAUACAAAGGGGACUCACAGCGACUACUGUUGUUUUACUGCACUUGUGUGGUUUCCUUCCAUUUUGAGGUGUUUGUGACUUUGCCCUUCUAAUUCUCCUCCUCCCCUACAACAAAAUUCUAGCACACAAAAAGAAAAAGAAAAACGAAAUAAAUUAGAAAUCAAACGCGUGGGUUGCCUCCCACGAAGCGCUUCCUUUAACGUCGCAUGGCUCGACGGUUCAUUUCCCUUAUCAUGGGGGGUAUUUCAGGUUCAAAACCUUGUUGCACCUCUUGUCUCUAACUCGGACGUUGUCUCUUUUAUCAGUGUUGACUCCUUUGCACCACGUUCCUUUUUAACCUUCCUUUCGAUGUUAGGAAUCUUCCCGUUUAGGGUGGCUACUGGCAGUGGUGAGACUUUGAUAGUAUUCAAUGUCCUGAUUAAGCCUACUUGAUACUGAGAUUUUGUAUCUUCCUCCAUAUCCUGGUCUUCAAUAGCUUUCAAUGUUAUUUCCUUGUUGUGAACUUUCAAGGUUAACGUGCACUCAUCCAUGUCGAGCUCGCAUCGACUCGUCUUCAUGAAAGGUCUACCCAGAAUGAUGGGUGCCUCAUUGUCUUCAGGUAUGUCUAGGAUUACAAAAUCGACUGGGAAAGUCAAGUCCGCUAUUGUUACCAACACAUCUUCAACCAUACCAUACGCAUCUUUUCUUGAGUGAUCCGCAAACUUCAGAUUGGUCUUUAUAUCACUGAUAUUUCUAAUACCCAGCCUGUGAUAGAUCGAUAAUGGCAUCAGAUUCAUACUAGCUCCAUAACCUAUUAGUACCUUUUUGAAGGUUCUUUCUUUGAUUGUGCAUGGUACUGUGACGGUUCCUGGAUCCUUUUAUUUGUUAGGAAUGUUCUGCUCCAGGGAGUUUGCAUUAUAUUGUUCCUUACCGGAUACCUGUUCUUCAGUGGUUGGUUUCUUUUCAGCCAUUACCUCUUCCACGAAUUUCUUGUACAUGGGCAUCCUUUCAAGUGGUUCAAACAAAGCCAUAUGACCCUCAAUCCUUUUAAACAUUGUCAUGAAUUUCUCCAAGUCUGACUCACUAGGUUCCUUCUUUGUCAUUCUCUGAGGGUAGGCAACUUAAUCACCGGUUUAGUUCCUUUUGUAGUUUCUUCUUGAGUCGGCUCUCUCGGUGAUGUAAUUUUUUCUUUUUAGCAGCCUUUUUCUCUGUCGUCGUGACAGUAUUAAACAUCUCUGACCUCUCGGAUUUUGAACUGUUUCACUUGGUAGGGAACCUGGUGUUCGAGAACUUGCCAGUUGCUGGGCUAUCUGCCCCAGCUGAACUUCGAGAUUCUUUAGGGAUGCGGCGAUGUUUUUCUGAUUGUUUCUAGUCUCUUCUUCAAAUUGCCCAUUUUGAGCUGCCGUCUUUUCAAUUGCAAUCUCCCAAUCUGCCUUCUUUGGGACUUGAUUUUGCUGUUGCUGAUAUUGGUUUUGAUAUUGGCCUUGUACUUGCUGUUGCACAUUCCCUUUCUGAUCCCUCCAUGCAAAGUUUGGAUGAUUCUUCCACCCCGGGUUGUAUGUGUUGGAGUAGGGAUUGUUUUGCUUUAAAAACUUGAUAUCUUCUAUCUGUUGCGGUGUUGCAAAGCAAUGAACAGUAUUGUGUGGUCCAUUACAAAUGCCACACACAUCGUUAGGUGCCUGUUGUACUUGAGCCACUUUCUGCGCACCUAUGUUUAGUGCCUUCAACCUUUUCUCCACCUCUGCAACAACUGCUUCUUCAAUUUUUACCUGUUUGUUUAUUUUAAGCUUCAAAUCAAUUACUGCAGAUUUGCUUGACACCCUAUCAUACAACUCCAGAUGCUCAUUUGAGGAAAUUGCUUCAAUUAUCUUCUUCAUACCGGUGGCUGUUGCAAAGUUAGCUGAGCCACCAGCUGUUGAGUCAAGGAUUUGUCUCGUUUGAAUUCGAAGACCAUUAACAAACAUUUGCAUCUGCUCAGUUUCAUCCAUGUUGUGAGUAGGACAAGCCACUAGGAUUCUCUUGAAUCUUUUAUAGGCAUCUCCUAUCGUUUGAAUUCGAAGACCAUUAACAAACAUUUGCAUCUGCUCAGUUUCAUCCAUGUUGUGAGUAGGACAAGCCACUAGGAUUCUCUUGAAUCUUUUAUAGGCAUCUCCUAGUGACUCACCCUCCUUUUGCUUGAAGUUUAGGAUCUCCUAUCUUUUUCUCAGUGACAUAGAUGCGGGAAAAUAUUCCUGCAAGAAUGUUGUUUCCAUCUGCUCCCAUGUAGUGAUACUGCCAGCCGGUAAGGAAUAGAAUCACUCUUCGGCUUCAUCUGCUAAAGUGAAUGGGAACAUACGAAGCCUUAUUGCUUCUUCGUUAUGUCCAGGCAUUUUCAGCGUUGUGCUCAUAGUUAAAAAUCUUUGCGGAUGCUUGUUGGCAUCUUCAUUCACUCUUCCAGAAAAGGACCGCCUUUCGAGUUGAUUAAUUAUGCUGGGAUGCAAUUGAAAUUGUUUUACAUUAACCGGGUGGUUUACAAUUGUCAUCCGACCACCCGGAGUGUUGGUUCCACCAUUGUCACCGAGAAGUCUCUCGGGUGGUGGUGGUGGUGGUGGGUUUGCAGCCAUGAUUUCAGGAACUAUUUCCGCGUCUGAAUCUGAAUUCUCUGAGUGCACUGAAACAACUUCCUCCUCUGCUUUCUUUGCUAAUUCCAGUUUUUCUCUCUUAGCUUGUCUUAGUCUAGCACGAAGAGUUCUUUCUGGAUCUGCGUCAAAAGAAAAAUCCGCUGAGGCCUUACCUCGCAUAAACAAGUUAGACAAAUAUUAGAAUUGAAUAACAAGAUUGUCACAGAUAAAAUUUUGGUUGACGAGCAGAUAUAAAUUCACAAAACCAACCAAACCCUUGUCUUUUUGUUCAAAUAGAAUCAGAAGUAAAAUAAGUAUUUCCCCCGCAAUCCCUGAGAUCGAUACUUGGAAAUAAAAUCCUAUUACAUCAAUCGCGUAAAAAAGUACACUUGCUAAUUCCGAUCAAGUUUUUGGCGCCGUGUCGGGUAAUGCCAAAUAAAACCUAUUUUAAUUUUUAAUUCUUAUUAUGAAAUUUUACAAAAAAAGUUGCUCAGCAAACCAAAAAAUAUUUAUAUGCCUGUAGUGACACACAUCUUAUCAAUCUAAUAUUGAUACGCCAAAAUUAAACAAUUGUUUAUGCGAGACAGUAAGCCUCAAGCGGAUUUUCUUUUAUGACGACAAUCCACGAAAGAACUACUUCGUGCUAGCACUAGAGACAAGCAAACGGAGAAGAAAAACAAUGGAAUAGCAAAGAAAGGCAGAGGAGGAGGAAAGAUUGUUUCAGUGCAACUCAGGAGAAUUCCGAUUCAGACGCGGAAAAUAAAUACAAAAAUCGUUCCUCGACAAUAUCAAAUGGCAAUGCAAAACACCCACACCACACAACAACAACACUCCAAACCACACCACACACCUGAGAAAAAAACUUAUCGAACCAAGAUAACAAGAUUGAGUGGAAAACCAAACCACUCCGGGUAGUGGACGAUGACAAAAUGUGAAACACCCAGGUAUGAUUAAAAACACAUUAAAUUACAAUUGUACCCAGCAAUAAUUAAAAUGCAAACUCGAAAAGAACGACACGUUCAUUUAUAUAAAUCUGGAAAGAUAAAAAAAGAUACAGCGAGUAAACAACAAAACAUUGUUGAAUGAAAAAAUGGUAGGAACCACAAACAAAAGAAAAAAGCAAACAAAAAAUACAAACCAACGAGGACAAAAAAACAAAAAAAGAAGAAAAGAGAAUAAAGAGAAAUAAUUACUUAACUCAUGAGCCAACAACGGCUUGAGAAAAUGCCCUGAACCAUAACGAAGAAGCAAUUAAGGAGUUCGCUAGUCCAUUACUCUUAGCAGAUGAAAGUCACGAAGGAGGUGAUAUACAUCAUCAAACUUAAAGCCGAAAAAAAGUGCUCGGCCAAAGAAUCAACCACAUCGGAGCAAGAGUGGAACUAUAAAACACAACAUUCUUGCAGGAAUAAUUAGUCGACAUAUAUAGAGUCCACUAGGAGAAAAAAAAAGAAAUAAAAAAAAAAAGAACCAAAGCAAUUAAAAUAGCAAAAACAGCAGCCUGGGCAUUGUUACAGGAAGCAUCAAUCAAAUAAACCAACACAAAACACGAAAUUCAAAUUUCUGGAAAAAUUAAAAACAUGUAAGCUACAUUGAACAAGCCAGGGUUCUAUGGUUUUUUUAGAAAACAACAGCCAUAACAACCACAUCAUCAUUCAAAACAGCAACCAAAAACAACAGCAUUACAAAAUAUGCUAUUUCGACAGUGGAAUUCUCUUUCUGAAAGACAUGACUGAUUUGGCAACUAACAUAACCAGCUGCAUUCAUCAUCCUUCUACUAAUGUUAACCUACAUCAAUCAUAUAACAAGAUUUCAGAAUAGAGAAAGGCCCUAGUUCACAGAGGUGAACAUUCCCUCCCUCUCUUGGCAACCUAAGACAAGAGUCCUCUCCGUUUCACUACCUCCUGCCGAUUCCCCGGUUGUUCCCCCCCCCCCCCUCCCCCCGUUGUUGAGAGCAGAUUACCUCCUUGUGAAGUUUUAGCACUCUCCGCACAUUCUUCCUUUUUUCUCCAUGACCCCAUAGAGCGGGGACCAUCUCCUCCGCAAGCGGCACCCCCCCAUAAGCCAAAACCAAACACAAACAACCAAAUUCGGAGCCCAAGUAUGCUGGGCUAUUGUUAUUUGUUCAAACAACAGCAAAGCAAUCAUGUUCAUCAUGCAAUCAAACAGUCGAUCACAAUUGAAACUCAAACUAGCAGUGGGCGUAGCAAACAUGGGCAUUUGGUACAAGUUUGUUCAUGCCAACAUCACUUCACUCACACAAUCUGUCCCAAAAGUCUAAUUAAUUGUUUAACAACAGACAAGCAUAAGGCAAAGGAAAUUCCUGAUGAUGGCGCAGAGCUAAUAUUAUGAACCACAACCCAAACAGGUUAAUUAGCGAAUAUCAGAGAAUUCCUACAUCUCGCAUGGCUUCUCUCAAUUAUACAUCAUAACAAGUGUCGUGGAGCAAUAGGAAACCACAAUCAACCCAAAAUGGCCGUUAGCAUUGUGGCUUCGUCGCUAUUAAUGGAACAUCACAGGCCUUAGCAACAUCAACAACAACCAAAUUCUACAAACAUAUAGACACGUGUGGUGCAUCAUANUGGUUGGUUUUGUGAAUUUAUAAUAAUAAACACAAAAAGAUAGUAGAAAUAAUUGAUUAAGAUAAAAUAUGCUAGGGUGAGUGGUUGAUUUAACCAGUUAUGAAUUCAGUCAAGAUUUCCUUAAUACACAUGAAACAUUCAAUUACCUAACCGCAUAAUGUUCUUCCUUAAGUCCUUAAGGAAGAAACUAUUAAACUACCAAUUCUUACUCAAAUGUCCAUUCAAUUAAUCAUUGGUUUUAAUCAUAAACAAUAUCAAGGUUUAUGGUGAUUCACAAAUGUUCCUAGUCCUAGGUGAUGCAAUUAUAAACCCAAUUGUGUGAAAACACUAACAAUCACAAUCCUGUUAUUGAUAGUCAUAGAUCUAUUUGUAUUUGUCUGAUACAAAAGCAUAAGCACAUCAGACAAUUGAAUUGAAAUUCGUAACAUAGUAAUAAGGAAAUCCAUAGAUAGAAUUCAUAACAUCAGACCAAAUCAGGACCACCCCCCUAGCAUUGGGGGUUUAGCCUCUCAUAGUAUUCAAAGAAAUCAUAGUAUAGAAAUUAAACAUUACAAAGAAUGAGGAGAUUUUGAUCUUCAAUGGGUGAUGCCCUUGAAUCUCGCCGUCUUUGAAUCCUCCGUAGUAGCUAUCUUCUCCGGUGCAAUGUUUCUUUUCGUACGUCAAAAAGUGUCUUCUCUAUCUCUCCAAAGUCUUUUAAUAGCCUCAGAUGGUUUUUCCCCAGUAAGAAGUCCAAAAUACCCUUAAUGAACAGGGCAGAUCCACACAACAAAAAGUAAAAUUUCUCAGCCGCGCCCAUCAACACUGGCAGUGUGGAUACACAUGGGUGCCCGUGUUGAUUCACACGGGCCGUGUGAAUUUACAUGGGUACCCGUGUUGUUUUCAAGAGUUAUGUUUUUUAAAGCAAGCUACAGAGGCAUCAACACGGGCCGUGUUGAUGCACACGGGUGCCCGUGUUAACCCUCUAUUUUACCUCCUGGAGUGCUUGUUUCCGGACAAACAACACGGGCCGUGUUGAUGUACACGAGGGCUCGUGUUGACCUACUGUAUCUUCAUAUUUUGGCCUUCCGGAGCAUCCAAUACUCGGCUAUUAGUCCUUUGGAACCUAUGCACAACCUGCAACAUUAACACUACCAAAUCGAAGCAUAAAAAGAGACUUUUUGACAUAAACAAGUAACAAAAUGCAAUGCACUAAUAAACUAACAAAACUUGUUAAAUGACUUUAAAAUAACUAAAAACAACCACAAGUCUGACCAAACUGAUGAAAAUAUGUCGGAUAAAAGGUGGGAAUUCAAUGGAAAUGGUGACCGAUCAUCGGUUAUUCUUCUGUGCUUCAGCCAAGCUGACUCACCGAUACAACACUCGCGCCAAUCAACCCAAGAUCUUGGAACAUUUGGAACAAGAGAACAAGGAGCUGAAGGAUGAGAUUGCAUGGUUGACUUCCAUGAUGGAGGUUGUUCUUGCUCCGCAUAAUCAGUCUUCACCAACUCCCGCAACUCCUCCAUAGAGGAUUGUCGUUUCUUAGGUUUCUACCUCGACUAUUCCUGUUGAUGUUAGCCAAUCCGGGUUUUCUAUGCCUGCUGGAUUCCCAUAGGAAAUGCCGCCAACAUUUGUGCCUGAAGGGUUUAUGCCUACCUUUGUUUCUAUGCCAGAAUCUAGCCCGAUCAUGUCUAUGCCUCCUCUAGUUGUUCAUACUUUGCCUCGUGUUGAGGGCACCAUCAACCAUUCUGAGACAUCUGAGGGACCAGAUGUUUAUGAGAAGAUGGAUGAAAUAAAGGAUCGGUUCCUUGAGUUGCAAAAAGAGAUGAAAACAUUGAGAGGAAAGGACCUGUUUGGUAAGAGUGUUGCUGAACUCUACUUGGUACCAAAUGUGAAAAUCCUGAUGAAGUUCAAGGUCCAUGACUUUGAAAAGUAUAAGGGAAAUGCUUCUCUAUUUAGUCACCUUGUUAUGUACGCCAGGAAGAUGUCAACUCAAACUAAUAAUGAUUAGUUGUUGAUUCACUAAUUUCAAGACAGUUUAAUCGGUGCUACUCUGAGAUGGUAUAUGGAUCUAGACAGUGCAAGUGUUCAUACUUUCAACGAUUUGGGUAAAGCUUUUGCUAAGCAGUACAAGUAUAAUGUGGAUAUGGUGCCUGAUAGACACCAAAUAAGGUAUAUGUCUCAGAAGGAUAAGGAGACGUUUAAAGAGUAUGCUCAGAGGUGGAGGGAACUUGCUGCUCAGAUUAAUUCUCCAUUAGAAGAGAAAGAGAUGACGAAGAUUUUCCUUAAGACCUUGAGUUCAUUUUAUUACGAACGUAUGAUUGCCAGUGCCCCUAGUGACUUUACCGAAAUAGUAAACAUGGGGAUGAGGUUAGAAGAGGGAGUCCGUGAUGGACGUCUGUCUAAGAAAGAAGCGUUGUCCAAUAAGAAGUAUGGAAGUGGUUUCUCCAAAAGAAAAGAGGCGGAAACUAAUUCACUAUCUGUAGGGAGGCUGAGGAGGCCUCAUGUUAGAAGGAGUUCCCAACCACGUCAGCAUCAACAUCAAGUCUUUUCAGUGAUUCCCGUCUUUUCCAAUAGUUCCAUUAAUCAACUUGUUCCAAUUCAACAACAACAACAACGUCAACAACAACCGCAGCAAAGAACCACCACCACCACCAACAAUAAUCAACAAUAAAACUUUGAGAGGAAGAAGGUCUCUUUUGACCCUAUUCCUAUGUCAUACGCCGAAUUAUAUCCAUCCUUGGUUCUCAAGAACCUACUUCAACCCAGAAAUCCACCGCAAAAUCCCGAGCCACUUCCAUGGUGGUUCAAACCUGAACUCCGUAGUGCCUUUUACCAAGGAGCCCCUGGCCAUGACAUUGAUAACUGCUAUCCAUUGAAGUAUGAAGUACAAAAGCUUGUGAAGAGUGGGAUGGUGUCGUUUAAGGACCGUGCGCCUAAUGUGAAAGCCAAUCCUUUACCUGCUCAUGGUAAUGCUUCAGUCAACAUGGUUGAUGGUUGUCCUGGGGAGUUCAAUAUUUAAGACAUCCACUAUAUCAGAAGGUCCUUAGUGGCAAUGCAUAAGGAUAUUCGUAUGGUUAGUGAAUGUGAGCAUGACCAUGAUGGUUGUGCAAUCUGUAGUGUGAACCCUCGAGGAUGUGUUAUUGUCAAGAGGGAUAUUUAAAGGUUGGUGGAUGAAGGUCUUAUCCAAAGUUUUCAAUCCCGUCACUUGGGAAAUGAUGUUAAUGUGAUUGUUCCUAUGUUUAAGACCCCUGAGUGGGUAGUAAUCCAGUUCAAUAGUAGUAGCAGUAACAACGUUAAUAGAUCGGUAUCAUCGUUAGUAAUACGGUUAACAGGCCCCAUCCCGUAUGCAUCCGAUAAAGCUGUGCCUUAUCAGUAUAAUGCCACAAUGGUGGAGAAUGUCCAAGAGGUUCUGUUUCCCGUAGCAGAUUUUGUGGUGAAUAUAGCUGAUAUUGCAAAGGUGACCCGUAGUGGUCGUGUCUUCAGCCUGUAAGAAGGUGGAUGUGCCUGUGGUGAAUCCAGUUAGUGCUCCAGUUUGUCAGUCUGGUGAAUCCAUCAAGCUGAAGCCUAAUGAUAAUGAUGAAGUUUUGAGGUUGAUAAAAAGAAGUGAAUUCAAUGUGGUGGGGCAGCUUAUCUAAACCCCAUCAAAGAUUUCAGUGUUGUCUUUGUUCAUGAACUCCGAAGCACAUAGAGAAGUGUUGCAGAAAGUCUUAGAGCAAUCCUAUGUUGAGCAUGAUAUCACUGUGUGUAGCGGUAAAUUCAUGAUCAUCCAGCUAUGGAUAAGCUGGAGAUCAAUAAAACCAGAGUCGCCACCGCGCUUUUAUUAUUUUCAAGGGAAAAGGGAAAAAGUACGAACAAAACCCAAAAGUAAGAAGUUUUCAAAUCAAAACUAAUAAAAUGUCAGAGAUUACAGGUAAGGGGGUUGGUUACACAGAGGGAAGGUGUUAGAACCCAAAGUGUUCUAGGUACUCCAAGGGAGCCCUUUCUUGUGUGCGUAUGUAUUUUGUACAAAGUGAUGUUUACAAACAAAUAGAAUGGAGGGAUGAGAAAAGAAUUCAUUAAUUAUAUUUUUAUGUUUGAAAAGACCUUCGGACUUAUGCCUACAUACUGUAAGACCCUAAUUUUGACCCUAAGAUCCCUCAUGGCAUCAUAACAUUGCAUUUGCAUCAUAGCCUCAAGGAAAAUUUGCAUCUUGGUUCCCUUUGCCUUUGGGUGGGAUCUCUUGAGAUUUGGUUUGAGAUCACCAAGCAUGCUUGAAUUGUAUAUUAUUGCUUUUCUCAUUUUAUUUACUAACCAAAAGCACAAAAAUAUGUCACUAACAUCUUUUGUUUGUAGCUUGAGCAGUCAGUAUAUUAUUGCUUUUCUCAUUUUAUUUACUAACCAAAAGCACAAAAAUAUGUCACUAACAUCUUUUGUUUGUAGCUUGAGCAGUCACAAGGUCUAAAGCUUCUAGGAGAUCCUAUGUGCAUUGAUAUGGUUAAGAGAAGGUGAAAGCAAGCAUGGAAAUGGUUCCUAAAGCUAUCAUCCAUCAAAUAUGCCUCCCAAGUAUCUCAAUUUAUCAUUUUGAUCAAAGCAAACAAGGGGCUUGAGGCUUGUUUUCCAAGGGAACCCUACUUCAUCUGUUCAUCAACUAUGCCUUGCUCAUGAAGCAACCUCAGCCCAUGAUCAAAUUCAAUCAAGGGAAGUUCUUUAAUUCAUCAUUUCAUGCAUAUUUGAACUUAUUUGAGUGUCCUCAAUCAUCAACUCAUCAAGAUAUGAGUUUUGGACUUGAGAAGUUGAUCAGUCAAUUCAUCUAACCAUUUUGAAAUGCACUGAGACCUAACUUUUUAUGUGUUUGUCAAAUGGAGAUUACCCCAAGAGAAAAAAUGUUCUUAAGUAAUAUAUGAACAACUUUCAUGUUCAUCAAAAUUGAUUUGAAGCUUGGAAGGUCAUCAUCCAUUCCAAGACAUUAUAGGUCAUUUUGACUGAAACCCUAAUUUUAGGUCAACUUCCUAAGGACAUAACUCCUACAUUUUUCAUGAUUUUGAGGUGAGAUCUAAUGAAUUGGAGAGAGUAAGAUAUCUAAUUCAAAUGUUAUGUUUAGCAAAAUUGAAAAACCUCAAAAGAAAUACAUGUUAUAAUGCAAAACAUUAUAGGUCACUUUGGACCAAAUGCAUUGAAAUGUGAAAAAGUCCAACUUCAAGUGCCCAUAACUUCUUCAUCAAAAAUCCAAAUGAUGAAAAAUUUAAGUCCAAAUUGAUUGCCUUGAGACGAUCUACAACUUGCAUGUUGAAUAUUUUGUCAUUUGUAGUUUUCAUCAUUGAGACAGAAGGGCUUGAACAUUGGCCAAUUUUGAAAAUUUCACAUAUGCAUGUUUUGCACCCUACACUUCAAGUUCAAUUUUCAUUAAUUUCCAAGGCCCAAAUGGAGUUUUGAUCACAUUGGCCAAUUUUGAAAAUUUCACAUAUGCAUGUUUUGCACCCUACACUUCAAGUUCAAUUUUCAUUAAUUUCCAAGGCCCAAAUGGAGUUUUGAUCAACAUAACAUUUGUUCCUUAUGCAAUAAGAUUUCCAACCAUUACCCAUAAGGCUAUGUUUCAAUUUUGGAAGUAUCAUUUUCGAAGAGGGGAACUUUUAGUGCAUUUUUGGAAACUUGAUUCAAUUGCCAUGCAUGAUCCAAAUACAUAUCUUCUGCACGUCCAAAACAUAUUUGGUGAUGUUUAGCUUACCAUUCCAAUCAGAAUUGGGCCCUCCAUGCGCCUGUACUGGCCCAUGCAUGGAGGGCCUUUUCAUCCAUGCACACACUUUGCUCAUGCUUGCAGCUCCCUUCAUCUAUAAAUACAAGGCCUUGGCUUCAUAAUUGGACAACCUGAAGUCACCUGUUAUGCUGCACGAAUCCCUCCAUAGCCAUACUUAAAGGAACUUUCUCUUUUUCUUCAAAUUUUCAGAUCUAAAUUUCAGCUACACUGGUUGAUUUCUAGAUCUAUAGUUCCUAAACCUUGCUCAUCUUCAUCACUAGACUACACUGCAAGCAUUAGCAAAGGCGAAUUGUGCUCUCAAGAUCCACAUUUCAAAGGUGGAUAUCAGAACUUAUUUUCUCCGAAACUCUUUAUUCAUAGCUUAUUUCUUACAUUUGCUGGGUUGUGUGAAGUCCUCUCAAUAGAGGCAAUUGUUUUGUGCUUUGAAUUUUGCAAAUCCAUCAAGUUUCAGUUGAACACCAUAUUUUUCAACCUCUGAUUUCUCUCUCCAUGAAAGUCUAGAGUGAAAAUAGAUGGUACAGGGGUGAUGUACAUCACCCCAGCUUUACAUUGUUGUAUAGAUCGCCUCAUUUGGUGAAGGUUUAUUUUCUGCAACUCUCGUCGGAAUCUCUGGUCUCGCCGGAGAAGACGGUGGUGUACACCACCGUCCGUUUGCCAGUUUUGAUCCAGGUCGUUGAUGAUGAUUCCCAGAUUGAAUCAGGGCUCUUGGAUCUUAUGACUUUUUUUAAGUGUUUAUGUUGCUUAGUUGACUUAGGUCCAUGAUACGCGCGCAUGCCACAACCGUCUGAUCUGCCAGGUCAAUUAAUGAAUUGAAUCCAACGCGUGUGGUUUUUCCUAAUUUUCUAUUUCUGAUUUUAAUUUCCAUUUUAUUUCUCUUAUUCCAUUUCAUUUCAAAAAAUCAUAUCUCAUUCAUUAUUGAUCCAAAAAAUGUGAGACCAAUUGCAUUAUUUCUCUUUUAAUUUCUAGUUUCUAAAAAUGAUUUUUAAUAUUUUUUAUUUUAUCAUUUGAUAUUUUUCAUGAAUUUUCUCUUUUCUGGUUAUUUUUAAAUUUGAAGUUUGACCUUUCUUUAUUAUUUUAAUUCAAGUUUUAUUUAAAUAUUAAAAAAUGCCAAAAAUAUUUUAUUUGUUUCUUGACUUCUAAUUCUCAUUUUGCUUCUGUUUUCUAUUAUUUGACCUUGAUCUUCUCUAUCAUUGGUCAAUGUUUGUUGAUUAGUACAUACCAUUUCCAUCAAUGCACUUUAAUUCUUCAUUUUCUUCUUCUUCUUCUUCUUCUUUUUCUUUUUUGGAUCAAUGAGUUAAAGAUUGGUGGUUAGCAUUGAUUAGGGAGGUUUAAUCUUCCUUGAUUCAAAUCUAAUUCAUCUUUAUCAUGGAUCAAGUGAAUGGCUUUGCAUUAAGGAUAAAUUGCUUCCUAAAUCAUGCAAAGAACCUAAAUCAAUACAAGAUCAUUUCUCAUCUUCUUUUUGGCAUGGAAAGUUGUUGGAGUUUGAUUCACUAAUCAAGACCUCUAACUUGUGUUGUUGCCUACAUUAUUAUUGACCGGCCUCAGAUAGUUAUAGUUGUGACUUCUACAUAAGUCCAAUUACGAUUGCUUAACAUAGCGCUAAAUUUGCCUUAUGGCACACUAACUACUAACAUUAACCAUUAACCAUUAACAUUUAAUUCUUGCUCUUUACAUUUAUGAUAUUUAUUAUUCUUGUACAUAUUAUUCAUUUUCUUUUUCCUUUGCUCAUUUGAGCACAUGUUUAUGUUAAUGCAAUUUGCCUUUUGCUCACUUGAGCAUAUAAUUGUGUAUAUAUUAUUGUGCUUGUGUUUUGUUUAAUUGUUAUGGACCAAAUGCAAAGAAAUAGACAAAUGGACUUAGUUUCUAGGAUAUUCCCUAUGCAAAUUGGAGUAAAAGGAUCUUAAUAUUGAAGAUGGAUUGGAAGGACCAAACCUCUAAACUCACUCUUGUCCAUUCUUGAUUUGCUUCAUAAGACUCUUUGAUGUGUGUGUGCUUUUGUGCUAGGGGAUCCUAUGAGAUAUCAAAUUGAAGAAUCAUUGCCAUGUUCAUCCAAAUUGAAAGAUACAAGAGGCAUUGGGGAUCUUCUAAGAGCUUGUUUGAUUAUGUUGAUUGCUUGAGCUUACUAUUAUUUUGCUUGCAUAUUCCAAAGGAUGGGAGCUACUUGGAUCAUCAAUAUGAUCACAAGAGAGGAACUCCAUUUGUGGUCUUAUUUCUUAUCCCUUAUCUCUUAUAUGACUAGGACUUUAGCCAUUCUUUUCCCUUCCUCCACUCUAACCCAAGCUAAAACUUUUGUGCAAACAUUUAACACCUCUUUCUACACAUUAGAAACCUAAGCCUUAUGCUUUUCAUUUUCAAACUUCCUUUUAAUAACACUUAUUUUGAAUUGAAUCUUUAAGUCAACUUUGACCAUAUUUUGUAAAUACUUUUCAUUGGUAAAUAUAACCCAUUCAAAUACUUUUGUGGUUUCAAUGGCCAUUUCUAAUCAAAAUUUUUUCAUAACCUUUAGCUAUUAGGUUUGAGUUAUCCUUGAGGUUGAUGUAAUACUCACCUAUAUCCUUAGUGAUGGACAAUGAGUCUUCCAUGCUUAUUAUAGGGUUAACCCCUCACUAGCAUGUUAAAGCUAUCCUCACAUGGUGGAUUUGUGGUUUAGGUUGAGUUUUCUCCCUUGGAUAACAAAAGACCUUAAGGCUUUUGGACCAAUCAAUUCACCAACUCAUUUUUAAUAUUUUUACCCCGAACUACGAGGUUUUGAUCCUAAUCUUUUUUAAGAUGGUACGUAGGCAAUGGGUUUAUCCAUCCAAACACAAAAGGUAAAUAACUUGUAUAUUCUCUUCUCAUCUCUUCAAUCGUGUUUGCACAAACAAAUUUUCACAAAAUACCAACCUUACAACAAGUAUGAAAAUAGCUCCCUAGGAGUACCUAGGAUGUUUUGGGUGCUUAAAACCUUCCCAUUGCAUAACCAACCCCCUUACCCCGAUCUCUGACAUUUUUACUAGUUUUUGAUUCGAUAAAACUUUUAGGUUUUUGUUCAUAACCAUUCCUUUGGAUAAAUAGAAGUGCGGUGGCGACUCGACUUGUAUGGUUUACCUUGGAUUUAGUCAAUAUCUCUAAUGGUAACGAAUACCCUGCUACAGAAAAGUGGCGACUCUGCUGGGGACAUUUGCCUAGUGGGUUUUUCCUACUGUAAUACCCCAAAAUUUACCCUUCAUUUUUUCUGGAAGCAUGGGAUUAUGUUUUACAUUUCAUUAGCAUCAUACUAGGUCAUACUCAUUGCAUACUGCAUUAGUGACAUGGAAAUCAGGUUUUGAUUGAUCAUUCCUUGACAGAAGGAGCCCACAUAAAUCAAGAUUUAGAAUUGGACUUCAUUCUCUAAGAAUACAAGUCUCAAAGGUCUCGGGGGGCUCUAGGUGUCUUAUUAUGGUCCUUAGCUCAUCAGUGAAAGAUUCAGAGCUAUCAGAGUGUUCAUCUAGAUUUAAUCAAGAAAUUAGGGUUUAAGGCUACCUGCAACAGGCAAUGUUUGGUUGGAAGUAGAGGAGCUCAUCCAUGUCAUGAUUGGAGAGGCAUCUUGGCCUAGGAAGACUCACAAUUAUCUCAGAAAGAUCCAUUGGCAAGCAGUGCAACAGUCCCUAAUCAUUUUGCCCCAAAUUAGGGUUUGGUAUAAAUCAGCUUAUUUCUGAUUCUUUGGGUGAAACUAUUUUCCCAUGGCCCCAUAUGUCCACAUGGGUCUACAUACAAAAAAUCAGCUCUUUAUUUGAGUCAGAAGUGCUUCAAUUGAUCAAUGGAAUCGGGAAUCAGAUAGUUUGGGAAAAGUCAACUGUGGGCCAAGAAAGUCAACUCUUGACAUUUGGAGAGUGGAAUCUCAAAUCCAUGCCUAGGGGAUCCAUCAUGUGAAAUUGUCAGUUGGAUCUUGGAUUCAUCAUUUAAUCAGGAAUUGGAAAAGUUACUUAAUUUGGAAAUGGUUGACUUUCCAUUUAGGGCAAGUUUUCAUGAUUGUUGCACUCACUUUAAGCCCAUUUUCCAUCAAAAUAAAAGCUCCAUUUGAAAUUUUCUCCAACAUGAAAAUUGUUCAUCUUGUUCCAAGCUUUCUAGAUAUAUAAAGUUUUCUCCAUUUGGAUCAAAGUUGAAAAACUUAUGCUUGGUCAAAGUGACACAUUUAUUUAGGAUCUUCAAAGUUUGUCAAGACUUCUUGGCCAGUUUUCUUGCACUUCAAGGCACCAAUUGAAAAUGUUUUCUUCACAAUAAUUAUACCUUUCCAUGUCCUCUUUCACCUCCUUUUGGAAUCAUCUCAUUUGGAUCCAUGGUUUGAGAGAUGGAUUCAUCUAAAGUUGGCAUCAUGACUUGAAUUUCUAGGCAGCAUGUUAGGCCAAACUGGCCCAACCAUUUUGGCAUGGUGAGACCUGAACUUGAGGCCCAUUUUUCACCUUCUUCCAUUCAUCAUUUAGGCAGCAUGUUAGGCCAAACUGGCCCAACCAUUUUGGCAUGGUGAGACCUGAACUUGAGGCCCAUUUUUCACCUUCUUCCAUUCAUCAUUUCCACUUGUGCUCAACAUGAAAGAUGCUAUACUCCAUGGUCUUGCUACUGUUUGCAUCAAAGAUACAUGGCCACAAAGUCACCAUCUUGUGUAAGAGCCCAUUAAGAAUAUAUGACCCAUCAUAUGUAAGAACAAAAACCCUAAAUCUGAAGGUCAUAGUGAAUUUUAGAGCUAAGCAAGGAGGGAGUUCAUUCAAGUCAGAUUUCAUUUCUUUUCCAUUUCUCAAAGUUGAAGUUUCAAAGCACCAUUCUUCUUCCAUUUUCUCCACAACCAAGAGGCAGUGGACCUAGCUUCCACUAGGUAAUCAUCUUACUCCUUCUUCCAUGGCCAUGUAUAGCUUAUUAUGCUCAUCAUUAUGCUUGCUUCAUGCCAUUACCAUGCUCAUCAUCAUGCUGGUUUCCAUGUUAAUAUUAUGCUAUGCUCAUUUCUGAAGCCCUCAACAUGAGACAAUGUUCAUGUUGUGGAUUUGUUUUGUUUAUUUCUGCUCACACUCGUGGCCAUGUUGUCCUCUUGUUGUCAAUAUUUCUCCAUGAUUAAGCCAUCAUUUAACCUAAAACAAGUCACCAUGUUAAUCCUUGCAUUUCAUACUUGAUGUCUGGUUUUUAUUUCGUGUCUUUUGGUGCACUAUGGCAUGCGCAUUCUUGAGUGGAAGUUUGGAAAAACUCACUUCAUUUUCGCGAUUUCUGCAUGAUUAUGGCAUUAGGGUUUGGUUUGAGGAAGGAGAUGAUUACGUGUCAUCUUAGGAACCGUUAGAUCCAAGGCAUGUGUUUUAAUCCUGGCCAUUUAUUUGUUUUUGUCCUCUAGUGACUUAAGUACCCGUGACCAAUUGAUACAAGGUUACUUGAUUUAAUUUAUUAAAAUGUUAUUUGUUGUCACGCUGGUUUAAUAAUUGUUUGGACUGGGCCUGCGCUUUCCCGCUCUCCACACCCCCAAGUUCCAGGGCCCAUCAACACUAAUACUUUCUCUUUUCAUUUUCUUUUUUUAAUUUCCAUUUAUUUGCUGUUUUGAUUUUAAUUAUUUUAGAAUAUUUUCUUUAUUCAUAAAAAUCCCCAAAAAUAUUGUCCACAUUUCUUAAUGCCUUAUUUAAUUUUAUUUAAUUUUUAUUUUCGUAUUUAUUUAAUGUUAAUAUUUUAUUUCAAUUAUUAAUUCUAAAUGGUUCUUUUAAGCAUACCUUNUUUAUUUAAUUUUUAUUUUCGUAUUUAUUUAAUGUUAAUAUUUUAUUUCAAUUAUUAAUUCUAAAUGGUUCUUUUAAGCAUACCUUUAAUUCUUGAUUUUAUUUUCAUGGCUUAAAAUUAUUUUUAGCCUUUGAUUUUUGGGAUGAAGGUUGACCACUGUCCCAUGGUCAACCUGACAUUUUCUUGAUUUUUUAUUUCACAAUUUUCUAUUUAUUUGAUAACUAUUUUGGUUGGUUGACUUUUAGUUUGACCUUUAUUUUAUUUCAAUUAAUUCAUGAACCAAUUUUCAUUAUUUUUGAAAUCUUUUUGGGGGAUGAUGAUGUCCUGACCCCACCUCAUUUAGUUUAAUUUUUCAUAAUUUUCUUGAUUAAUUUGCUAUUUAUUUGACAUUUUUUAAGUUGACUUGAGCUUUCAGUUGCCUUCUUUAUGAUCGAUGUUUGAGUUAGGGAUUGCUUAUGGCAAUUGAAGAGACCUUUUGAUCCUCCCUUGUUCAUCUCAUAUGCCAUGUAUUAGAGGCCUUUUAUCUUGAUUUUAUUUGGUCCUUACCUCAUUUCCGGAUUAAAUUUUUCAGUGGACCCCUUUUGUGCAUCUUUUCAUCUGUCUGAUUCAUCUGAUAUUUGUUAUACUUGUUUCUUUCAUCCAUGCCUUCUUUUGCUUGAUUGUUUAACAUGUUCAUACUUCCUAUGCAUUGUUUAAUGCUCCAUCAUAUCAUUCUUUGAUUAUUUGACUUGAUUAUAUACCUGUCAUAUACUCUUAUUGUUUGAUAACUGUUGCCUACUUGUAUGAUGAUUGAGGCAUAUAUUCUUAUUGUUUGGUCGCCGUGAACCAUCCCCAUUUGUAACAAAUGUACCCCUCUCCCAAGAAGUGUAUAAUAUUUAUUCUCUCAUUCUUUAUUCAUCUGUUAAUACAAGAAUUAAAACGAACAUCCGAUAAUCAUUUCAAAACAAGAUCAAAAGCUCGACCCAACGUCGAGUAAUCAUUUUCAAAACUUAACAGAACCAGCAUGUAUUCAUUCAUCCUCUUGUAAGUCGAUCUCCUCAGGCAUCGCCAUUUCUCUUGUAAGUCGAUUGCUUCAGGAAACACCAUCUACCUCUUGUAAGUCGAUUGCUUCAUACAUCGCCAUCUACCCUUAUCCGUGGCUCCUCUCCUCGCUCCAUCCGUCAACUCUUGUUCUGUUUAGGUAACACCCAUUAGGUAGAACCUUUUGUAUUAUAACAUAGGUAGAAUUCCCUUAUUCUUUGCAUGCUAACAUUAGGUAGAUGUUUCCCUUCUGUAAAUCCUAAUACAUAGGUCCACAUUGCAUGACAACUCUAGGGCAGAGCUUCCCCACUUUUAGACCUUCCGUGCGUCUCCGAUCUUGUGGCAUGUCAAUCCGUUCUAUUGCAAAGAGGUAACUGCCUAAGACUCGAUUAGAGCUUCCCCACUUUUAGACCUUCCGUGCGUCUCCGAUCUUGUGGCAUGUCAAUCCGUUCUAUUGCAAAGAGGUAACUGCCUAAGACUCGAUUCAGCGAGCUGCGACACCUACUGCUAGGAUGUUGACCACAUUGCCCACUUUCCUUUGACACAGCUGGUGUCCUCUUUUGUAAGUCCAUGUUCAGAUGGAAAUCCAUAACCCCUAGUUAGGCGAACUACGACAACUCUGAUUCUCAUGUUCAGAUGAGAUACGUAGGCACGAGAUGUGAUGUCUUGCCGAGUUUGACUAACGACUAACAACUAAUCCUUGUUUACUUUCCCCCUUGCUGCGAUUCUUUUCUCUCGCCCUCGUUGCGAUCGAGACCUUCCCUUUCUCUUGCCCUAGUUGCAAUCGAGACCCUUGUUCCCGUAGUUAGCUGAACUACGUUUUUCUCUGAUUCUCAUGUUCAGAUGAGAUACGUAGGCAUAAGACACGAUGUCUUAGAGAGCACACUUCUCUUUCGCCCAUAGGUAGCUGAGCUACGAAGACUCUGAUUCUCAUAUUCAGAUGAGAUACGUAGGCAGUGGAUGCGACAUCCUUGCGAGUCAUUUUAUUUUAACCCUUCUUUUAGUAAAUAGUACCUUAGAUAUACCUACACCCUUUAGACUAGAACAACAAGAGUGGAUCCCGUAGAGUACUACAGAUGCGUAGGGGUGCUAAUACCUUCCCUUCGCAUAAUCGACUCCCGAACCCAAGAUUUGGUUGUGAGACCUUGUCUUUUCCUUCUCUUCAGGUUUUCUUCAAUCGUUUCCUUUCCCUUCUUUGGGAUAAAUAACGAACGGUGGCGACUCUUCUAUUUCUUUUUCUUCGCCGGUUGUUUUUUUUCGCACCAGUUGCGACAGCUGGAGACUCUGUUGGGGACCCGGUUUCCCUAUGCGAAUCCCUCCUAGCUUUUGUGAGUUUCUUGUUUGUUGGGUGUUUAUUCUUUUAUACAAUUAUUUACUUUCAGCAUUUAUCUGCUUUAUCUUAUUGCAUUAUGUACAUAUGAUUGUUGUAUCUGUUGGAUCUGUGGGGUUGGUUGUUUGUUGGGAUGGGUUGUUCUAUGAGAGAUAAGCCCACUACCCAGGCUUGAGCGUACACACAGGUUUUAGAGUGGAUAGUCAUGAGGCUUGCAUAGUAUGUUGCUACGUUAAGUCGUUCACGAAGACCCACACCAUGAUGAGGUUUCUUUUGGAUAUAUUCUGUCCUAUGAGUGUUCCAUAACGACAGACGUUCCUUUAGAAAUCGUCGACUCUGGUGACCAUUUCCCGAGGACUCAGUCGAGGGCUCUCCUCCGAGACGCGGUUAUGUUAGCUCUGGUGGGCACAUUCUCGCUGCUCAAUCCGAGGACCCCGAGGCUGGGAAUUGCUUUUAGGAUGUCCUGUUGAGGGGAGUCAGUGGAGGUCUUUUGUCUCGUAAUAAUGCUAAACCUUCAGUAGUAAACGUAUUAUUCUCGACUGAAGGACUAGAAGCUAAUGAACUUCUGUUCUUGGAACCUACCAGUGAGGGGCGGGCUAAAUUCAGGAAACCUUAACCUUCAACCAACCCAGUUUUCUGGUAUUCUUGUUGGAACAGAGCUUUGAUCUCUUAUAUGUUCCUCAGUGGUUUUCUCUUCAGACAGUGCGACCUGACAGUUGUUCAAGCAGAUACAGCAAUCAUGAUUCCCAUGUCACUGCAUUGCAUCACAUCAUUUUGCAUUCAUAUCAUUUAACACAUGUUUAUCCAUUACUAGGGGUUUAUAUCUUCUUCUUGAUUCUAGUCGGGGUUUUCUGGUUCUCCUAAGAUGGAUAUUGGCAGAAAAAGACAUGUCGCCUACAGAUUUCUUGUGGUUUGUUUGGAUCCCAUUCAACAGCUGAUGAAGUUAACGAAUCAUGAUUCUCUAGAAGGAUUCCGGAAGGAUUAUGGUUUGAUUCUAAGCUUCGUUACGGCUCUCUCCAAAGAUCAACACGAUGCUCUCUUUACACUGCUGCAGUUCUAUGACCCUACAUUGAGGUGUUUUACAUUCCCAGAUUAUAUCUUAGUCCCUACUUUGGAGGAGGUUGCCAGUUUUCUCAGAGUUCCUAUCAAGCCGCAGUUGCUAUUCUACAAUUCCAAGUUUCUGCCCGAUUUCAGCAUGGUUGCUUCAGCCACAUAUUUGGGGAAAUCAGUCUUGGAGUUUAAUAUGAGUCAGAAAGGAGGAGUUAAUGGUUUUCAUCUGAGUUUCCUAGUAGGAGAAGCCAAGAAGAAGCUUGAAGAUGGUGAUUGGAGGUGUUUCAAUGCUGUGUUGGCUCUUUGUGUAUACGGGAUUGUCUUGUUCCCUAAUGUUCCAAAAUUUGUGGACGUAGACGCAAUACACCUCUUCGUGUUGGGAAAUCCGGUGGCGACCUUGCUAGGAGAUUUCUUUCAUUCAGUGCAUCACAGGAAUGAGAAUAGAAAAGGAGGAUUGGUGAAUUGUUGUGCACCCUUGUUUCAUAAGUGGUUCAGUUCUCACCUACCCAAAUCAGGAGCGUUCAUUGACUUCAAGGACUCGUUGAGUUGGUCGAAGAGAUUGAUGGGGAUAAGAGCUAAAGACAUUUCUUGGUGGUCUGACCAGAACUUGCUUCGGGCGGAUAUCAUUCACAGUUGCGGGAACUUCCCGAAUGUGCCAUUGGUAGGAAGAAAAGGAGGGAUCAACUAUAAUCCUUCUCUAGCAGUCAGACAAUUUGGGUAUGCUUUGAAAACUCCGCCUUUGGAAAAAGAUGUGGAAGAAUCUCUGUUUUUCCAUUCCUCAUCUGAUUUGACUGUAUCCCAUAAGGCAGUUGAGGCUUGGCUCAAAGUGAUCAAGAGAGGAAGGACUGUGCUUGGAAAGGGAGAUUGCAGGACUUAUCAUCAAUAUGAAGAUUGGCUUCGGGGAAGAGUCGAAGAGUUUGGUCUGCCUUUUCCUAUUAAAGAACCUUUGUAUCCACCUACUCCUGAGCAGUCAACGAUGGUGAGUCGAGAGGAGUAUGACAAAUUGAAGAAUGCCAUUGAGGAACUUCAAACUAAAAACUCAGAGUUGCGUGUGAAAUUGCAAGAAUGUAUGCAUCUAUACCAUGAGGCAGAAUAUCAGAAGGGGGAAACUGUCAGAUUGCAAGAGGAAGCAGAGAAGAAACUGGUUGUGGAGGUUAACUUCUUCAGGAAAACUGACAAAGCCUUGGGGUCAUCCAGUUCUGAGUUGAGGCAAGUCAAGCAGUAGUUAACAGAUGCCUGUGGUAUGUUAGCUGGGUGGCAAGAGCAGUGGGAUGCAUUUUCAGCUUCUCGGAAGGCAAAAGAGAAGGAGAUGAUGGCCCAAUUGACCGGUCAGAUGGAGAAGUUGAAGACUCUGCUGAAGGAGAAGAACAAUGAGCUCUUGUGUGCCCGUACAACCAAUGGUUACAUCACAGAUCAACUCGACAAUGCUCAAGUACAUAUUGAAGAACUCAAGGUGCUGGCGGGUUUGAAGAAAUCUAGACUUGAAGAGGUGUUCGUGGAGGACGAUGGGAAUUACUACAUAGAGCACAUCAACGAGCUGGAUGGGAUUAUUCACAAGAGGAAUUUUCUUAUUCGGUGUUUAACAGAAUCUCUAGAUCAUCCUGACACGGUGGCACUACUGGCUGAAGUUAGGAGCAGUCCUUAUGGGUUGUAUACAGAAGGCUGAUUCCUGAUUUUUGUUCCUCUCUUUACUUGUUAUGUUUCUUUGUGGUUUUGUAGUGAUGAUCCACAGGCUUGUUGUGGAGAUCCUCUUUUGAUGUACUGUUGGCUAAGGCCAUUCUCUUUGAACUCGUUUGUAUGACGAUUUCUCUUUAUUGCAUCUUGGUCUCAAAAGUUUAUCCACGGCUCGAUCUUCUUGUACUGUUCAUCUGAUGUGAGACUGGAAUUAAGGGGUAGAGUACCCUUUGGAAUUGAUAAACAUGUCAUUGCAUUUGCACAUUCAUUAGCAUGUCUUGCAUAACAGGUACCGCCGCAAUGUUCUCAUUUUGUUUGAUAUUCCACUAGUAGGAUAGCUGACUCAGGCAUUCACCGGUACGGUACCCGCAGGAAUCAACAAAGAGCAAUGGAAGGCCUACAAGAAGAGCUUGUUGAGAUGAGGAUUUGCAUGAAUCAGUUCAUGGACGUGGUCCAAGGAGUGGCUCAGGGACAGCAGAAGCUCAGACAGAUGAUACAGAGGAAUCCCCCUACUACUCAACCAGAGAUGGUGAUUGAUCCUCCAGCUGGAGAGACCAAUGGACCCAAUAGACCGGGGCCUAUCCCUAUCCCACGUGUCAACCCUGAUCAACAACCCAUUCAUGAUGAUCAAGAGGAUCAGUUCACUCUGCUUCAAGAGGACUUUGGCAUGGGCCAUGGCAUGGACCUUAUGUUUAGGAGGUUGGAGGAGAGGUUGAAGGUUGUGGAAGGGCAGAAUGCUCUUGGUGUGGACGUUGCUGACUUGGGGCUGGUCCCAGGCGUGAGAGUUCCACCAAAGUUCAGAGUCCCAGUCUUUGACAAAUAUAAUGGCAACUCUUGCCCGAAGAGUCACGUGCAAGCUUACUUCCGCAAGAUGGUUGUGUAUUCUGAUGAUGAGAAGCUGCUCAUGUACUUCUUCCAGGACAGUCUAGCUAGGGCAUCCUUGGAAUGGUAUAUGAGGCUGGAUAGAGCCCAUAUUUGCUGCUGGAGAGAUUUGGCUGAGGCUUUUGUGAAGCAGUAUCAGUACAAUGUUGAUAUGGCACCUCACAAGACUCAACUCCAGAAUCUGUCUCUCAAGAGCAAUGAGUGCUUCAGAGAAUAUGCUCAACGCUGGAGAGAGACAACUUCCUGUGUUCAACCUCCGAUGAUGGAGAAGGAGAUGGCCAACAUGUUCAUGAACACACUUCCCGGGUCUUACUUGGAGCGUCUGGUGGGUUGCAACGCCUCCAAUUUCGCUGAUGUGGUCUCUACCGGUGAGAGGGUGGAGAACUACUUGAAGACGUGCAAGAUCCAAAGUGGGGUUGGAUCAUCAUUAGGGGCGAAGAAGCCGUUCAUACAGGGAUAAAAGAGGAGAGAAGGGGAUUGAAAUUCAAUAUCUUCUUAUCAGAACAGGGGUAACCGGAGGAACAGUUUUCAGAACUACCAUCAACAACCUUAUGUUGCAGUUGUGACCAUUUUGGCUGCAGCACCAGUGCAACAACAAUAACCUCAGCGUCAACAAACUCAAUACCAACAACCACAGGGUAACAGAGCUGCCUACCAACAGGGACAGAGGAUGUUGGACAGGCGUUUCGACACUCUUCGGAUGUUGCAUGCCCAGUUGUUUCCCAGCCUUCAACAGCUACAACUUGUGCAGAUACACACUUUGACUCCUCCUAUUGGCAGGCUUCCAGUGGGUUAUGACGCCAAUGCUAGGUGUAAUUUCCACUCUGGGGCACCUGGCUACUUUAUUGAGAACUGCAAAGCUUUUAAGCACACAGUUCAGGACCUUAUUGAUUCGAAGACCAUCAACUUUGUGCCAGCUCCUAAUGUUGUCAACAAUCCCUUGCCGCAACAUGGUGGUGCAAACGUUAACAUGGUGGAAGGAGAAUUCAAAGUCGUCAAGGAUGUGUUGAAGCUGAAGACACCGCUGUUGGAAAUCAAAGAAUACUUGUUGAAGGCAGAUGUUUUCCCCGGUUGUGGGAGCGGCUAUUUGGGUUGUACUGUACAGAGUGGGGGUUGUGUGAGGCUGGAGCAGGGUAUUCAGGCCUUGCUCGACGAUGGUAUCCACCAAGCUGAAGACCUAUCUGCCCAAAGGUCUAUUGAAGGGGUUGUUGUAGGGGAUGUUGAAGAGAAUGCUGAUGUUGAUCCUCUCUUUCCUGAAGAUGCCGUGGAUGCUAAAGAAUUUACAAAUGUUGUUCCUGCUGAUUUUGUAAUCCCUAGUGAUGUAAUUAAUUCUUCAGAUGUUGUUGUUGAUAUUCCAAACAAUGUAUUUAAUUAUGAUGUAUUUGUUGAGCCUGAUUCCGAUGUUUCGGAUGCUUGCAUUUCAAUGAAUAAGAUUUCUAAGUAUGACUGUGAUGUUGCCACUAUCACAAUUUUCUACCCAACUGCUUAGAUCAGUGUGCCAGUAGCGCAACCGGUGCCACCAGUGCGACCAUCCACUAUGACCAUCACGACCCCUGGUCCUUUACCUUUCACCAGCGAAAGGGCCAUUCCUUGGCAUUAUGGGGGGAGUGUGUACACGCAUGAUCAUGGAGUGGAGCAGCCACUGAAAAUAGAAGAGGUGCAGGAUCAGAGGUCUGAACCUGGAGUUGAGGUAAAAGAUCCCGCAGUGGACAAUAUUGGUGGAAUCGGGCGAUUCACCAGAAGUGGUAGACUAUUCUCACCACCGGUUACCCAACUUGAUAGUGCUGAUGCCGCGGCGAAGGCCAAAGGCAAGCAAGUUGUGAAUGAGGGUACCUCUGCACCACAGGCUGGCUCUGACCCUACUUUUGCGAAGGAUGUGGACGAGCUCUUGAGAAUCAUAGAGAAAAGUGACUACAAGGUAGUCGAUCAGUUGAUUCAGACGUCGUCCAAGAUAUCUAUUCUAUCACUCCUGCUGUGUUUGGAGGCACACAGGGAGGCAUUGUUGAAGGUCCUUAAUGCUGCAUAUGUGCCUCAGGAGAUCUCAGUGAACCAACUGGAAGGGAUCAUUGCAAAUGUUCAUGCGAGCAACAGGUUGGGUUUUACUGAUUCUGACUUGACACCAGCUGGACGCAAUCAUAACAAGGCUUUGCACAUCUCGAUGGAAUGCAAAGACACCGUGUUAUCCCAUGUUCUGGUGGAUACAGGUUCCUCUCUCAAUGUGUUACCCAAGAGAGCCCUGUCAAGGUUAGAUGUAGAAGGUUUGAUCUUGAAGCCUUCCGAUCUUGUUGCGAGAGCCUUCGGUGGUUCUAAGAGGUCGGUGUUCAGAGAGGUAGAAUUGCCAAUUUAGAUUGGAUCACAAACCUUCAACACUGUCUUCUAUGUGAUGGAUAUCAGUCCUUCGUAUAGCUGCUUGUUGGGUCGUCCUUGGAUCCACAAUGUUGGGGCAGUCUCCUCGACCUUGCAUCAGAAGAUCAAGUUCCCGGUCAACAAACGAAUUAACACUGUCUGUGGUGAGGAGGAUAUUCUAGUCAGUCACUUGUCUACAUUCAAGUAUGUAGAGGUAGAAGGUGAGAUUCAUGAGACCCUGUGUCAGGCCUUUGAGGCAGUUCAAGUCAAGGAUGCAGCUCCGGUGGAAGAGGUUAAAGUAGGUGCCUCUAUUUCGUCCUUUAAGCAGGCGCAGGCCUUGGUAAAUUCAGGUGUUGCUCCCGGUUGGGGACGUCUGUUGGAUUUACAUGUAAAGGAAGACAAGUUCGGGAUUGGGUAUCAGCCAACAUUGACUUCUACAACUUCAACGUCUUAGACUCGUCAGGGGCCGAUUACUUUCUCCAGUGCUGGCAUCAUUCAGUAUGGCCAGGUCUCUGCAAUCAACAAAGAAGAUGAAGAUAGUGAUUGCGACAUAGACAACUGGGUGCAUCCAAGGGUCCCGGGUGAAGUUCUCCGCAAUUGGUCUUCUGAAGAGAUUAUCCAAGUCACUCUUCUUGAAGAGUAAUUUUCUUUGUUUGUUUGUGCAUAUCCAAGUCUUACAUUCCGCCCAGGGCGUAAUGACUCAUUGUAGGGCUCAUCUAUGUGAAUACCUGCAUUUUUUAUCAUAAAUAAAGGACGUCUUUUUGCAUUCAAAUAUUUUGUUCACUGUAUCAUUGUAGGGCUCAUCUAUGUGAAUACCUGCAUUUUUUAUCAUAAAUAAAGGACGUCUUUUUGCAUUCAAAUAUUUUGUUCACUGUCUUUCUAUUUUUGCAGUUUUCAAAAAUCAAAAAAUAUUUGGCAAUGUUUUGUUUAGUUUUCACUCAUUAUUCACACUCAUAAGCACAUACCAUCACUCAUGCAGCUGCACGUCACCGGAUCCUAUUGAUAACAGUUCUACUAUGGCUCGCUUCGACUUUGAAAAUCCAAUCUUUCAAGCUGAAGAAGAGGGUGGUGAAGACUGUGAACUCCCUGAAGAACUUGCCAGGUUGUUAAAACAGGAGGAAAGGGUCAUUCAACCGUAUCAAGAGUCAAUUGAAGUGAUUAAUCUUGGCACCGAGGAUGUCAAGAGAGAAAUCAAGAUAGGGGUUGCUUUGGAAGAUAAUGUGAAGAAGGGGCUAAUUGAACUGCUGCAAGAGUAUGUUGACAUUUUCGCUUGGUCUUAUCAGGAUAUUCCAGGGCUUGACACAGAUAUUGUGGUACACCGUUUGCCUCUCAAAGAGGAUUGUCCUCCGGUCAAGCAGAAGCUCAGAAGAACAAGACUAGAGAUGACUGUCAAGAUAAAGGAAGAAGUGCAAAAAUAGUUGGAUGCAGGGUUUCUAGCGGUUACAAAUUAUCCGCCAUGGGUUGCAAAUAUCGUUCCAGUACCUAAGAAGGAUGGAAAGGUACGGAUGUGUGUUGACUACCGGGAUCUGAACAGAGCUAGUCCAAUUAUCCGCCAUGGGUUGCAAAUAUCGUUCCAGUACCUAAGAAGGAUGGAAAGG